CUCAGUUUAACAAAAAGGAAUUAAGAAUCAGUUCCCUUAGCUCUGGAAUGCAAACCUGAGAGCCUUGACAACUGAAUUUGGGUGUACGGCCAUAAUUGGCCAUAAUUGGGGACUUCAGGCAUCUGAGAGUCUGUGGCUGGAGCUUAGAUAAACUAGUCUCAGAAGGUGGCACGUGAUGUUCUACUUGGUUGUCAGACAGUGCAUACGAGCUACAGAGCAGCAUCAACAACAACAAAAUUAAAUACGUGGAUCUCUGUGUAACGUGAGAAAACAAAUAAGAUCUAUAGCCCUGUUCCACGCCCAUUUCAAUACAUUUGUGUUUGUGCACAAGGGUUGCCUGUUUCUCAGCUGUUCACAUCACUCUAACCGCACAUGUUGAGCACAUCAGUGCAGAUGUGGAGGAGAGACGCAGGGAUGACUGUGAGGCUCCCUCAUGGAACAGAAGGCAAUUGAGACAGGGGGAGGGGGUGGUGGCCCCAACUUGCAGAGCUGAGCACGUAACGAGCAAGCUGUGAACAGUGGGUAGAGGAGCUCUCUCCACACCUGCAGACCAAAAGCAAAAAGAAGAAUGACAGCCUCAAUUCGGCUCCAACCUGGAUGCCAUCUCUCCCCCAGGGCAUCGGAGAAGGGCAAGUGCGUUUGCUGAGCCAUGCCUUCAAAAGCCUCUCCUGUGCCUGUCUCAGUAUCCUUCUCACAAGGAGCCUAGGACCCCACCUCCCCCAUUCUCAUCUCUCAGCCCCAGAACGGCCCCGGUUCUCCGAGCACUUGUCUUUCUUCUCUUCGGAGAGCAAGUUCUGUGUUCCCAGCAAAUCACCCACUUGUGCCGCUAUUGUCUGCUGUUCUCCUAUCACCGACAGACAUCCAAACAAGCUCUGCACAGAGACUCCCAGGAGCCAGGCUGGCAGACGGAGCCGGAGCCGGAGGAAGCCCUGUCUCAUCGGCAGCAGCGGUGGCAAUGGGGACUUGCUCCGCUCUUGAGGAAAUGUGAGGAAUCUAUGUGGAAAUGAGCUUGAAGGGUGUCAGACCAAUGAGGAUUGAAGGCAAAUUGAGAUCAACCAUGUUUCUGAGUUGCAGUGCCCCUGCCCCCCGGCAGAGAUUCCAAGAAGAUGGAAGUGUUUCCAGAAAGCCUGCCUCAUAGGAAAUGACCAAUGACUACUGUCCAAAAUAAUGAUGAUGAAGAUAAUAAGACCACCGUGCGUCACUGUCGGCAGCUGUGAUCUUCAAACACAGUCUGGACUAUCUCCAUCCGUGUUCGAGCGCGCCGGCUCCGACCCCUCUGGGCUUCAGGUGUGUCAUGUCAGACGUGUCCCUUUAUUCAACCGUAUAUAGAUUUUCUCGAGUUCUGGGAAAAUGCUCCAAGACACAUAUUUGACCCUUUCUUCCUCUGUCCAAUCACGGAAAGAAAAAUGUUAGCCAGAUAAUAUUGAAACGUGUGAAAGCUAUGGAGUCUAAAUGGAUGAAAAUUGAGUAAUUAUCUUUCGGGGAAAUUUUGCAAAAUGAAUCAUCCAAUCAUCACUUUCAAGGCAUGGAUGUGUGCAGGAGAGUUGAUGCUGCA
Long non-coding RNA from Peromyscus californicus insignis, 1555 nucleotides. RefSeq lists it as uncharacterized. NCBI's taxonomy places the organism in Eukaryota, Metazoa, Chordata, Mammalia, Rodentia, Cricetidae. The transcript is spliced from 3 exons. The record is from RefSeq and is a predicted model, not a curated record.